UCGCGUCUCACCGAGCUACCUCCUCCCAAGCUCGAGACGUGCGACCCGGCGGAGCAUCCUCCUCCCAGUUCCGCCAAGUCAAAUGCGCCUGCCAGCACCUCCUCCCGCUGGCGGGCGUUUUG
This 122-nucleotide small RNA is filed under the name Roseibium suaedae. RNAcentral describes it as "Labrenzia sp. YC6927 Alphaproteobacterial ar14". It matches the Rfam family "Alphaproteobacterial ar14". Rfam says of the family: Smr14C2 was renamed NfeR1 (Nodule Formation Efficiency RNA) highly expressed in salt stress and during the symbiotic interaction on legume roots. Lineage: Bacteria; Pseudomonadati; Pseudomonadota; Alphaproteobacteria; Hyphomicrobiales; Stappiaceae. The record is from Rfam by way of RNAcentral.